GUUUCUUUUCUUUUUUAAUUCUCAGCAAAAAUUGUAAGAGUUUGCGUAGGGCUAGCGGCGGGGGCGUCAUGCUAGAGUGGUAGACAUGAACUCUAUGGUUAGGGUAGGACGUCGUGGGAGGUUGGUGAGACAGUGAUCCUAUGUGAGGUGCCGACUAUGGGUGCUCGAAGCCCAAUAGAGAGCAGCAACUGAGCAUGAGGCAGUGGACCAAGCAAUAGCAGG
Molecule: long non-coding RNA, 222 nt
Filed under: Sorghum bicolor (sorghum)
Lineage: Eukaryota; Viridiplantae; Streptophyta; Magnoliopsida; Poales; Poaceae
Description: long non-coding RNA (SBIC_LNC018055)
Source: RNAcentral